RNAcentral lists this ribosomal RNA (453 nucleotides) under uncultured bacterium. RNAcentral's name for it is "bacterial SSU rRNA". It matches the Rfam family "Bacterial small subunit ribosomal RNA", at positions 30 to 481 of the family's 1533-position model. The record is from RNAcentral.
AUUGAACGCUGGCGGAAUGCUUUACACAUGCAAGUCGAACGGCAGCACGGGUGCUUGCACCUGGUGGCGAGUGGCGAACGGGUGAGUAAUGCACCGGAACGUAUCCAAUAAUGGGGGAUAACGCACCGAAAGGUGUGCUAAUACCGCAUACGCCCUGAGGGGGAAAGCGGGGGAUCGUAAGACCUCGCGUUAAUGGAGCGGCCGAUGCCGGAUUAGCUAGUUGGUGAGGUAAAGGCUCACCAAGGCGACGAUCCGUAGCUGGUCUGAGAGGACGACCAGCCACACUGGAACUGAGACACGGUCCAGACUCCUACGGGAGGCAGCAGUGGGGAAUUUUGGACAAUGGGCGCAAGCCUGAUCCAGCCAUUCCGCGUGAGUGAAGAAGGCCUUGGGUUGUAAGGUACUCUUUCGUCAAGGAAGAAACUUAAUACUACCUAAUACGAGGUGAGGUUG